GUGCCAGCAGCCGCGGUAAUACGUAGGGGGCAAGCGUUGUCCGGAAUUACUGGGCGUAAAGCGCGUGUAGGCGGGACGACAAGUCCGGCGUGAAAGGCUUGGGCUCAACCCGAGAUGGCCGUUGGAAACUGUCGUUCUUGAGGGUCGAAGAGGAGAGUGGAAUUCCUGGUGUAGCGGUGAAAUGCGUAGAGAUCAGGAGGAACACCCAUGGCGAAGGCAGCUCUCUGGUCGACCUCUGACGCUGAGACGCGAAAGCGUGGGGAGCGAACGGGAUUAGAUACCCUAGUAGUCC
This 292-nucleotide ribosomal RNA is filed under the name uncultured bacterium. RNAcentral's name for it is "partial 16S ribosomal RNA". It matches the Rfam family "Bacterial small subunit ribosomal RNA", at positions 505 to 796 of the family's 1533-position model. The record is from RNAcentral.